RNAcentral lists this ribosomal RNA (496 nucleotides) under uncultured bacterium. Its description in RNAcentral is "partial 16S ribosomal RNA". It matches the Rfam family "Bacterial small subunit ribosomal RNA", at positions 28 to 506 of the family's 1533-position model. The record is from RNAcentral.
GACGAACGCUGGCGGCGUGCCUAAUACAUGCAAGUUGAGCGAUGAAGCUUGGUGCUUGCACCAAUUUGGAGAGCAGCGAACGGGUGAGUAACGCGUGGGGAAUCUGCCUUUGAGCGGGGGACAACAUUUGGAAACGAAUGCUAAUACCGCAUAACAACUUUAAACAUAAGUUUUAAGUUUGAAAGAUGCAAUUGCAUCACUCAAAGAUGAUCCCGCGUUGUAUUAGCUAGUUGGUGAGGUAAAGGCUCACCAAGGCGAUGAUACAUAGCCGACCUGAGAGGGUGAUCGGCCACAUUGGGACUGAGACACGGCCCAAACUCCUACGGGAGGCAGCAGUAGGGAAUCUUCGGCAAUGGACGAAAGUCUGACCGAGCAACGCCGCGCGAGUGAAGAAGGUUUUCGGAUCGUAAAACUCUGUUGGUAGAGAAGAACGUUGGUGAGAGUGGAAAGCUCAUCAAGUGACGGUAACUACCCAGAAAGGGACGGCUAACUACGU